This 546-nucleotide ribosomal RNA is filed under the name Triticum aestivum (bread wheat). RNAcentral describes it as "partial small subunit ribosomal RNA". Lineage: Eukaryota; Viridiplantae; Streptophyta; Magnoliopsida; Poales; Poaceae. The record is from RNAcentral.
AUGGAGUGGCUGGACGAGAAGGCAGCCGCCGGCCGGGGCGUGCUGUACGUCGCGUUCGGGACACUGGCCGCGAUUCCAGAGAUGCAGCUCAAGGAAGUUGCAGACGGGCUGGAGCGGGCCGAGCACCAGAGCGUGAGAGGGUUUCUGAGCCACUGCGGGUGGAACUCGGUGCUGGAGAGUGUCACGGCUGCUGUGCCACUGGCAGCUUGGCCCAUGCAGGCCGAUCAACCUUUCUUUUUUUUUUUGCGGCGUUUGCAGUCGAUGAGCUCAAGAUCGCGGUUAGGGUCCACACGAGUGAUAGAACGAUGCGGGGUUUGGUUGCGAGCCAAGAAAUAUCACAACUCACAAGUGGUCAGGAAGCUUAUGCUCGGAGAGGUCGGAACUGAAGUGGCAAAGAAUGUUGCUGAGUUAUCGGUGCUAGCUAUGGAGUCCAUGUUGGAGACGGGGUCGUCUUGGAAAGCAAUGGAGGAGAUGAUCGGUGAGUUGUGUGCACCCAACAUGCAUGCAAAGGUUGAGGCAAGCAAGGAGGAGUCGCGAGAUGUUUAA